RNAcentral lists this small nucleolar RNA (119 nucleotides) under Echinops telfairi (small Madagascar hedgehog). RNAcentral's name for it is "Small nucleolar RNA SNORA61 (ENSETEG00000026864.1)". Lineage: Eukaryota; Metazoa; Chordata; Mammalia; Afrosoricida; Tenrecidae. The record is from RNAcentral.
ACCCUCCAGAUUUCUUACCCAUCAGACGUAGACAUUGUCUGCGCGGCUGUAAGUGGAGGGAAAAUACAACUGAGCAGGCCUUGGACUCUGGGCAAUGUAGAAGUUGGUUUCAAACCAAG